AUAUUUAAAAUAAUUUUCUGGACUGACAGGAAGGAAUUAAAUAAAUUUGGUGAGCUGUCGAAAUAGUAAUAUUCUGAAUUCAGAAUAACAGAGUUGUUGUUGUUUCUAAGGAAAAGAUAUAAUGCUUAUCCUAUUUGACCAAAAAAAUUAAAAAAAUUAAAAAAAUUAAAAAAAAAUAAUGCUUAUCCUCAGGCGGGCACAGAGAAACAUUUGUUUUUGUAAUUAUGCUGAUUAAAAGAUAAAUAACGAAAAUGUCCUCACCUAACCGCUAUUUUGGAGGGUAUGAUUGGAAUAACAUCAAAACAGUGGGAGAUCUGUUGAGUAUUUGGCGGCAUUAGUGAUAAUUAGUUGAGCAAGAGGUGGACAUGAUUAGAAAAUCGAUUGUCCAUGGAUGAAGUGAGUGCCGAAAUAUAAGAUAUAUAUAUGGGUUAGGGUUAGUUCAUGCUCAAAGUGAGUUAAGUAGGCUACGCCUAAUUUUGCAUGGAUAAAAAAGUAAGCCAGAUCUGUUCGUUGGUGGACGGUUUAAAUAACUUAAAAUUAUACGUUACAAUUGAUUUGGAAAAAUUAAAUGUCGAAAAAAUAUAUUUAUUAGACAUGAACAACUCCAUUUUAAGAUUUUAAAUUUUAAAUUAGAUUAUGUAAACUUUAUCAUUGGUCAUUGUUAUAUUUGAACAUACAGCUUUGUUUGAAUCUGAUCAUUAAUAUCCAGAAGAAGAAAAAAUGUUCAUAUGGACAAAUCUAUUUAGCCGUGGACAACUCAUUUGACAUUUAAUUGAGGAAGGAGAUAGAUAGCAUCGGGAUUGCAAUAAUGGAGUUGUAUUUGUGUGUUGUAGUCGUGGACGACAUUGACAACGAGUUUCAUAGUUGUUGCUUUGUUGCCUUGUGAUAACGAUAGAGGACAUAUUACAACGGUUAAGUGACUUAAUAAUCAUGUUUGUUUUUGUGUUUGUUAGUGACAACAACAAGUUUAGUCGUUAGUCGUCCAAACUUGUCAUACAAAACGUAAACAAGAUUUAGUCGUUGGCGACUAUGAAACAACCAACAAAAACAUUAUUGUUGUCGCUUAGAUUUAAAGGUUGGUGGACUAAAUUGAUUCCAUUUGUUUUCUUCUUGAUUGUGCUUGCCCAAAUCGAGCAACAUUUCAUCUUAAAAUCUCAUAUAUAUGUAUAUGUGACAAAACGUGGAUUAGUGAGAUAUAUAUGGAUAUAGCGUUUCACAUUAGCUCACUGAAGAUAGUUUUGUUGUUUUUGUAAAAUUGAUAGCCAAAUCUGCUGUGGUCCUUUUGGGUAAACAUCACACGAUCUAGCUGUUGCUCUAUGGAGCCCAGUAGCAUAAAGUUUAUGACAAUUCAGUUUAUAAUUUUUAAAAUCGAUUACAAUAUACUUUUUAUAUAUAUAUCUUUUUGAAACUACUCUACUUGAAAAAUCGUAUACCUUUAUGUCUGAAUUUAUGGGCUUUCCAUAUGAGAACCUUACAAAAAGAACUCACGAUCUUCUUUUUUUCAACAAAAAAUUCACAAUCAAAUCUCAAGAGAGAGAAGAGCUUGUUUAGCCAAUCAUUUUGACAUAUCAGUUAUCAUAAACCUAUCACUUACGAGAAAACAUAUCGUUUAACAAAAAAAAAAGAAACAACCUAACGAUUCUCUCUUCGUCUUCUCCUUUUUCCAUUCUAUUUAAACAGAUUAGAUUUUCAAGCCUCCACCGAAAUCAAGGUUGAGUUACCUAGAAUCAAAGCAGUACAUGUGUAUAUGCAGUUCAAGUGAGUCGACUCAAGGGGUGACGGCUAAACUGAUCUUGCAAGACCGAAGGAUGAUUGAGUUUACAUUGCCGUAAGCGAGAUUAUUCUACCAACAGAUGGUCUUGGGAAUCUUAGUGGAAGAGAAGGCAUGCUUAAGCAGAACACAAUUAGAUUCCGAGGUUAUAAGUCAGUCCUUCCUGAUUUUGCUGAAGUUACUAUCAUUGGGAAUUUCUUCGAUCCUUACAGCAACAGCCGAAUGAAAAAGCUCAAGCAAAGUGGAUCCUAUAAAUUUCGAAACUGUGAGUGUUAGAACAUGCUUGCUUGCCUUUAGGUUAUAUGAUGUGUGUGACAGUGAUACAUCAAUCAUUUUGGGCGUCGACUUGAAAUCAGCUUCCUCUUUGAUCUCUCUAACUCUCUUCUUCUAUCUGCAACUGAUGCAGCAUCGGAUACGUCUUUGGCGCCAACAUCAUAAGUUUGAAUAAUACUUUAGCUUUAUCGAUUUAGGUUUUGGUUUUACAUGUCUUUCUUUUAAAAAGUUAUAUUUCCUUUUAAAAUAAGGUUUAUAGAAUCCUUUUCCUCUUAGGAAUUGUCUAAAGGAAGGAUUAUAUAAGCAGAGUUGUGGCUUUCUUAUUUGAUAUGUUUGAUUUAAUAGAAGAGUUUUUGCUUUA
Long non-coding RNA from Brassica napus (rape), 2405 nucleotides. RefSeq lists it as uncharacterized. The transcript has 2 exons. The record is from RefSeq and is a predicted model, not a curated record. Lineage: Eukaryota; Viridiplantae; Streptophyta; Magnoliopsida; Brassicales; Brassicaceae.